Neoarius graeffei (lesser salmon catfish) is the source of this 790-nucleotide long non-coding RNA. RefSeq lists it as uncharacterized. NCBI's taxonomy places the organism in Eukaryota, Metazoa, Chordata, Actinopteri, Siluriformes, Ariidae. The transcript is spliced from 2 exons. The record is from RefSeq and is a predicted model, not a curated record.
GGAGCGCGAGUUGGCUGAAUUCUGGAUCAAUGUCGACCGUGAUCGAUUCAGAAACACCAGAUCAGUUGCAAUGCUCCUUUUGACAAGUUUCCCCUCCACAUACAUAUGUGAAGCCUCAUUUUCGGCAAUGAACUGUCUCAAAAAUGACGCAAGAAACAGAUUGUCUGACGCACACCUUGGCGAUUGUUUGAAGAUUGCCACAACAGAAUACAAACCAGACUUCAUGAAGGUUGCCUCCUCAUCCAGUCACUGCCAUCUCUCACACUGAUUGUGACUGACGUGGCUGAUAUGGUCCUGCAGAAUCCUCUAUCUCUCUUCAGUGACUGAUGUGGCUGAUGCGGUCUUGUAGAAUCCUGCACCUCUCUCUCUCUCUCUCUCUCUCUCUCCCCGGCUAGGAAGGUGGUUAGUUGUGUAUAGUUUGUCCAUUGCCCAUGUAUACUGCUUUUCCUGGCACUAGUGUGGCAGCAGAUAUAGUUGUGUGGCAGCUGAUGUUUUAUUUUACAUUUUUAAAGAAAGCUGAUGUUUUAUUUUACAUUUGUAAAGAAAGCUGAUGUUUUAUUUUACAUUUUUAAAGAAAGUGAUAAUUCUGUGCACUGUCUCCCUCCCUCCCUGUGUGUGUGUGUGUGUGUGUGUGUGUGUGUGUGUGUGUGUGUGUGUGGAGGAUGGUUGUUAGUUGUCCAUACUUUGUAAUACACAGCCCUUCUGGACACUUAAUAUUUGUUUUUUUUUUCAUAUUGCAAAAUGUUUGCUACUGCGAGUAGGCCUAAUAAAAAUUACUAUUUUUUUAGUA